This is a long non-coding RNA of Centruroides sculpturatus (bark scorpion), 295 nucleotides long. RefSeq lists it as uncharacterized. The transcript has 2 exons. Lineage: Eukaryota; Metazoa; Arthropoda; Arachnida; Scorpiones; Buthidae. The record is from RefSeq and is a predicted model, not a curated record.
CGAAGCAAAAGCUCGAUACGGCACUGAUACAAACGGAUUCAGUACUUUUAUACAACAACGUAUAAACCAUUACGACACUCAAGAUAAAAAAAGAAAAGUUGGCUUAUUGUCAUAUUUUAGUAAGAAUAAUUAUAACCUAGUCAAUCAAAAGAAAGAGUCUGAAAUCGUUACAAAAAUGAUAACUAAUUUGGCUCCUAACCAUGAUAAUACUCCUCUUCCUAUUGCAAAAAGCAUCGAUGUUGAGUGCACUGUUGGAAAUAGUAUAUCUUCACCAAAAGCUUAUAAAAAAANAAAC